AGAGUUUGAUCAUGGCUCAGGAUCAACGCUGGCGGCGUGCCUAAUGCAUGCAAGUCGAGCGGGGUGCUCUUCGGAGCACUUACGCGGCGGACGGGUGCGGAACACGUGGGCAACCUGCCCUGAGGUGGGGGAUAGCCGGUGGAAACACCGGGUAAUUCCGCAUACGGUCACUGGUCGGAGGGCUGGUGAGGAAAGGGUCUUCGGACUCGCCUUAGGAGGGGCCUGCGGCCGAUUAGCUAGACGGUGGGGUAACGGCCUACCGUGGCGAUGAUCGGUAGCUGGUCUGAGAGGACGGCCAGCCACACGGGGACUGAGACACGGCCCCGACUCCUACGGGAGGCAGCAGCAAGGAAUCUUCCGCAAUGGGCGAAAGCCUGACGGAGCAACGCCGCGUGUGGGAUGACGCCUUUCGGGGUGUAAACCACUUUUCUCAGGGAAGAAGCACUGACGGUACCUGAGGAAUAAGGACCGGCUAACUACGUGCCAGCAGCCGCGGUAAUACGUAGGGUCCGAGCGUUGUCCGGAGUUACUGGGCGUAAAGCGCGCGCAGGCGGCGGUAUAAGCAUGGCGUGAAAGCCCCAGGCUCAACCUGGGAGGGUCGUCGUGGACUGUACCGCUUGAGGGCGAUAGGGGCUGGUGGAAUGCCUGGUGUAGUGGUGAAAUGCGUAGAGAUCAGGCGGAACACCCGUGGCGAAGGCGGCCAGCUGGGUCGUCCCUGACGCUGAGGCGCGAAGGCGUGGGGAGCGAACGGGAUUAGAUACCCCAGUAGUCC
This 772-nucleotide ribosomal RNA is filed under the name uncultured bacterium. Its description in RNAcentral is "bacterial SSU rRNA". It matches the Rfam family "Bacterial small subunit ribosomal RNA", at positions 8 to 796 of the family's 1533-position model. The record is from RNAcentral.